Molecule: transfer RNA, 69 nt
Filed under: Marmota monax (woodchuck)
Lineage: Eukaryota; Metazoa; Chordata; Mammalia; Rodentia; Sciuridae
Description: tRNA.Val
Rfam family: tRNA (bases 2-62)
About the family: Transfer RNA (tRNA) molecules are approximately 80 nucleotides in length. Their secondary structure includes four short double-helical elements and three loops (D, anti-codon, and T loops).
Source: RNAcentral
AUGUGGCUCAGUGGUAGAGCACUUGCCUCACAUGUGUGAGGUCCUGAGUUUGAUCCUCAGCACCACAUA